Molecule: ribosomal RNA, 253 nt
Filed under: uncultured bacterium
Lineage: Bacteria
Description: partial 16S ribosomal RNA
Rfam family: Bacterial small subunit ribosomal RNA
Source: RNAcentral
UACAUAGGGUGCAAGCGUUGUCCGGAAUUAUUGGGCGUAAAGAGCUCGUAGGUUGUUUGUUACGUCGGAUGUGAAAACCUGAGGCCCAACCUCAGGCCUGCAUUCGAUACGGGCAAACUAGAGUUUGGUAGGGGAGACUGGAAUUCCUGGUGUAGCGGUGGAAUGCGCAGAUAUCAGGAAGAACACCAGUGGCGAAGGCGGUGCUCUGGGCCGGAACUGACGCUGAGGAGCGAAAGCGUGGGGAGCAAACAGG